Molecule: ribosomal RNA, 393 nt
Filed under: uncultured bacterium
Lineage: Bacteria
Description: partial 16S ribosomal RNA
Rfam family: Bacterial small subunit ribosomal RNA
Source: RNAcentral
AUACGGAGGAUGCAAGCGUUAUCCGGAUUUAUUGGGUUUAAAGGGAGCGUAGGUGGGAUAUUAAGUCAGCUGUGAAAGUUUGGGGCUCAACCUUAAAAUUGCAGUUGAUACUGGUUUCCUUGAGUACGGUACAGGUGGGCGGAAUUCGUGGUGUAGCGGUGAAAUGCUUAGAUAUCACGAAGAACUCCGAUCGCGAAGGCAGCUCACCGGGCCGGAACUGACACUGAUGCUCGGAAGUGCGGGUAUCAAACAGGAUUAGAUACCCUGGUAGUCCGCACAGUAAACGAUGAAUACUCGCUGUUUGCGAUACACGGUAAGCGGCCAAGCGAAAGCGUUAAGUAUUCCACCUGGGGAGUACGCCGGCAACGGUGAAACUCAAAUGAAUUGGCGGGG